This 376-nucleotide long non-coding RNA is filed under the name Brassica rapa (field mustard). Its description in RNAcentral is "long non-coding RNA (BRAP_LNC000836)". The record is from RNAcentral. Lineage: Eukaryota; Viridiplantae; Streptophyta; Magnoliopsida; Brassicales; Brassicaceae.
GAGUGGGUUGUCCUAGGCUACGCAGCCGCCGCCGAAGCGAUCAUGGUGAUCCUCCUAACGAUGCCUGGACUCGACGCGCUCCGCAAAGGCUUGAUCGCCGUCACGCGCAACCUCCUGAAGCCGUUCCUCUCGAUCAUCCCCUUCUGCCUCUUCCUCCUCAUGGAUAUCUACUGGAAGUACGAGACUCGUCCCUCCUGCGACGGCGACUCGUGCACCCCUUCCGAGCACCUCCGUCACCAGAAGUCGAUCAUGAAGUCCCAGAGGAACGCGCUCCUGAUCGCGUCGGCGCUUGUGUUCUACUGGAUUCUGUAUUCCGUUACGAAUCUUGUGGUUAGGAUCGAGCAGCUUAACCAGAGGGUUGAGAGGCUUAGGAAGA